AAUCCAGGCAUCAUGAGUCACUAUUUAUAAUCUGCAGCAGAUGUGUAUAAAAUCAAUAGCUAAUGGACAGCAUGGUCUUGCAGUGAAUUAGGAGCAGAGUGUGAAAAUGUCAGUUUCUCUUCAGUGUCUCUGCCAGCUGAGAUCAGAUGAAAUUUCAACAGUUCUUCCUCUGUUCAUCAAAACUAGAUUUUAUAUAUAAACUUGCAGUAGGAAGGCACGUCAGAAAAAUAGCUACUUCUGUGUUUAAAUCCCCAUUUUUAUUCAUCCAACAAAACCAUACCUGUUAGCAAGAAUGGAAUAUCUAUAUAGAGAAGGAGGAGAUGUCAAGAUCAAGCACAGAGUCAUGUGAAUUCUUCCUCUGCUAGCAGGAGAAGGGAAAAAUGAUCAGUGUAAAUCCUUGGCUGUUUUGCUGCAAGUUUGUCAUUAUGGUAAUGAGUGAUGCAAGGACACUGUUAGACUUUGCCAUAUUUCUUAAUGCUUACUAUUUAUUGUAGUCCCUAGAGGCUCUAACAGGAAUGAUGAGCUGAUGCAGCACAACUGGGAGGCUGAUGGGGGCUGCAGUAUGAGGAAAUGGUCUUGGGUUCCUUAGUAAGACCAGGAUUGCUUAUUGCCUUCUAACUUCUAUAGAGGUUGCAGCUGCUGAGGAGGAGCAGGAGAGCACAGCUAUCACACUUGGUGGGUUCAAGGGCUUUGUGUGGUGAGCUGGAACUCAGAACUUUGGUCUGUCCGUGGCAAGGAAGUUCUUUCCUUGCAUGGUACAUAACAACUACACACUCAUUACUGAAGUGGAAUUCAAAAAAAGAUGAGGACUGAUAUGCAGACUACUGUGAAAACAAAAAGGUGUAAUUGCUGUUGUGAAAUGUAGAAGACCUGCCCCUUGCACCUCUCACCCAACAUGUUUUCUACUGCUGUCAAACUGUGAAAAGAGUACAGAGUUGUGAAGUGCUAUUUGUUUGACUGUGACCAUCCCACAGUUUCACUCUGUUGGAUUGUUAUGUUCUUUGAUUUGAUGAAGAUUUUGGUUGGCAUAAAUCUGGAUUUACUGAUCAAUGAAGACGAAUAAGCACAAUUUUCUGUUGGGAUUCAAGAUUACCUGCACUAGAAAACUAUGAUAAAUGUUAGCACUUCAUGAAUUGGAAUUAUUAACAUUUAAUUUACUAUUUCUUGAUACAUUUUAGCCUUAUAUGGUAAAUCCAUCACUUAACCUUUGCAGGAAAUAUAAUUGUCUUCAUUUAAUUUAUGUAAAUUGUUAUUUGUUUUCAAAUUGUGUGAUGAUAAAUAUACUGGUUUGUUGUUUAUCUAAACAACUUGAAAUUAAUGAUUUUGUAAGAUUUAUGCUACAGUUAAAAUAUUAACUUCCUUUGUUUAGAUCAUGUUAUAUAUUUUAUUCAGUUUAAUGUUCACAUACCUUGCAACACUUUCAUGCUACCAAGCUUUAGGUGCUUAUACUUGACUGCUGAUAAAGUGUGGAAUUGCAAUCUGUUAUUGUAAUACUCUGAAAUGAAAGAGAAAUUUGUGCUAUACUUUU
Molecule: long non-coding RNA, 1528 nt
Organism: Anas platyrhynchos (mallard)
Lineage: Eukaryota; Metazoa; Chordata; Aves; Anseriformes; Anatidae
Source: RefSeq, a predicted model, not a curated record